GAUGAACGCUGGCGGCGUGCCUAAUACAUGCAAGUCGAGCGAACGGACGAGAAGCUUGCUCUUCUGAUGUUAGCGGCGGACGGGUGAGUAACACGUGGAUAACCUACCUAUAAGACUGGGAUAACUUCGGGAAACCGGAGCUAAUACCGGAUAAUAUUUUGAACCGCAUGGUUCAUAAGUGAAAGACGGUCUUGCUGUCACUUAUAGAUGGAUCCGCGCUGCAUUAGCUAGUUGGUAAGGUAACGGCUUACCAAGGCAACGAUGCAUAGCCGACCUGAGAGGGUGAUCGGCCACACUGGAACUGAGACACGGUCCAGACUCCUAAGGGAGGCAGCAGUAGGGAAUCUUCCGCAAUGGGCGAAAGCCUGACGGAGCAACGCCGCGUGAGUGAUGAAGGUCUUCGGAUCGUAAAACUCUGUUAUUAGGGAAGAACAUAUGUGUAAGUAACUGUGCACAUCUUGACGGUACCUAAUCAGAAAGCCACGGCUAACUACGUG
Molecule: ribosomal RNA, 497 nt
Filed under: uncultured bacterium
Lineage: Bacteria
Description: partial 16S ribosomal RNA
Rfam family: Bacterial small subunit ribosomal RNA
Source: RNAcentral